GAGCGGGUAGCAGGAAUCGAACCCGCAUCGUUAGCUUGGAAGGCUAGGGGUUAUAGUUGAUGUUGGUUGAUUAUUUUUAAUGUCUCUAAUUCAAAACCAAACAUGAAAUUUUGA
RNAcentral lists this ribosomal RNA (114 nucleotides) under Triticum aestivum (bread wheat). Its description in RNAcentral is "partial small subunit ribosomal RNA". Lineage: Eukaryota; Viridiplantae; Streptophyta; Magnoliopsida; Poales; Poaceae. The record is from RNAcentral.